This 473-nucleotide ribosomal RNA is filed under the name uncultured bacterium. Its description in RNAcentral is "bacterial SSU rRNA". It matches the Rfam family "Bacterial small subunit ribosomal RNA", at positions 335 to 801 of the family's 1533-position model. The record is from RNAcentral.
ACUCCUACGGGAGGCAGCAGUAGGGAAUCUUCCACAAUGGGCGCAAGCCUGAUGGAGCAACACCGCGUGAGUGAAGAAGGGUUUCGGCUCGUAAAGCUAUGUUGUUAAAGAAGAACACGUAUGAGAGUAACUGUUCAUACGUUGACGGUAUUUAACCAGAAAGUCACGGCUAACUACGUGCCAGCAGCCGCGGUAAUACGUAGGUGGCAAGCGUUAUCCGGAUUUAUUGGGCGUAAAGAGAGUGCAGGCGGUUUUCUAAGUCUGAUGUGAAAGCCUUCGGCUUAACCGGAGAAGUGCAUCGGAAACUGGAUAACUUGAGUGCAGAAGAGGGUAGUGGAACUCCAUGUGUAGCGGUGGAAUGCGUAGAUAUAUGGAAGAACACCAGUGGCGAAGGCGGCUACCUGGUCUGCAACUGACGCUGAGACUCGAAAGCAUGGGUAGCGAACAGGAUUAGAUACCCUGGUAGGAUAGCG